CUCUCUCUCUGCUGGCUGGCUGGCUGUCUAGGCCUAUGUGUCACCACCUGGCACUUGCUCUCAUUGUCUUGUGCGAGUGCUUUUGCCAGCAGUUUGGAGUGCAGACCCAUCACCCCUCACUGGGGCCCCCCAUGAGGCCUGCCUGACUGCAUGCCCCACCCGGGCCCAUGGCAGCGCACCUGGAAGCGGACGGCUGAGGACUUGUUGCAGUGCAUGGAGAUGGGCGCGAAGCUGUACAGGGCCUUCAGUACGUCGCGGUUGAAGGAGUUCCAGGGAACAGAGGAUCCCGAAGCCCCCCUGCAAGUUGGAGGAGACCCGUCAGCCCCGGGCCAUGCCACGCAGACGCUGCCAUCCAGCAGCUUUCGCCGCACCCACGUGUACACUGCGUCCACUCGUCUGUUCACUGCACCGUGCCAGGCAUGCUCUGGGGAACCGAGUCCCUGCCCUCAAGGAAUUGCCACCAUUGGCAGGAGAGACAGGCAGUGAGUGAGUGAGUCAACCAGGAAAUUCGUAUCAGGUACUGAUGAUGCUGUGAGGAAAAAUGAAACGGGACAAGCGGAUGGGGUGUUAUUGUGCCCAUUUUAUGGGUACAGAAACUGAGUCUCAGAGCAGGCAAGGGGAUGCCCCGUGGUGGCCACAGCAUCGGUGGCACAGCCUGAGUGCACCCAGCGUCCCGGCCAUUGUCUGGAAGCUGUCCCCAUGACCUCCAGCGAGAGCCUGGAGCCAAGGACUGCAAGGGAGGCCCUUUCCACUGCAGCCCCGCACCGUCCACCAGUCAUUUCUCCAACGUGGCUCUGAGGGGAGCAGGGACUCUAUAAGACAGGACCGUGACUAGAGGCCGCGACAACCUCCAGCCUCUCACGGCAACCCUACGGCCUGCCAUCGCAUGGGAGGGGCAGGGCAGGCACCCUCUGAGUCCCCACUGCCAGCUUUAAGCCCCUCGCUGGGUUGCUGCUCUUGGAGCUGGUGACCGUGGAGCCUCAGCCAUAGGAGGAAGAACAGCAGCAGCUUGGAGGAGCUGGGGCUGGAGAGAGCAAAGCUCCCCCGGCAGCAGCUCAGAUCCCAGCAGGUCAGGGGCCGGGACAUGACGCCCUGGCCACCCUUGCCCCUCCAGGCUCCCCGCUGUUUGUGAAGCUGCUGUGGGCCUGGGGAUUUCAUCUGGCUGGUGGGGAAGAAAGGCAAUCUUUACUCUAUGGCAGAACAAAGGGACUGGGCAAAGCUUGGCGUGGCACUUACACCAGCUGCCGCCCCCUCCUCCCGUGCAGACAAAGAGCAUGGGACAGUUCUGCCCAGAGACGAAACCUGGCACCUGUUGGCCAGGACGCGUUUUUGCCAGCAUUGUUCUCUGGGCCGGAUUCCUCCUUUCCCAGCUUUUCUCAUCCAUCCCGCCCCCGUCAGAUCGGGACGAUUGCCCUCCUGUGUGAGUUCCUGUCCCUCCCCACCCUCUGCCACCACAGACAUCAAAAGGGAACUGAGUCCGACCCUGUGUAGAAUCUGUUCUCCUCUUUCACCUGGGGAAGGAAAUCGAAUUUCAAAGGCCACUGUGUCUUGGAUCAGCAGGCGAGGGCUUGUCAGAGUGUGAGAAGCUCAGGUCCACCUGGGGAGCUGCCCUCCCCUUUGAUCCCACCUGGUGCUGUGAUGUGGCCACUGCCAAGAGGACGACAUGGGCCAGGGAAGCCACAGAACUGCCCACGGGGACGCUGGCACCGAGGGCCUCAACCUGCAGAACGGCCAUCUGAGAUGUCCGCGGUGCUCACCAGGCCUGGCAGCCCCGAACGCCCUGGGACGUGGCGUCAGUUCCGCCGCCGUGAAGCCAGAUUGGGCAGGGAAUAUGCAGUCUCCUCGCUGGAUGCCCGGCAAGACCCUCCCAUCCCUGGCCCCGGGGCCGCGCCUGCAGAAUGGGGCUGAUGGUGGGGACUUGCCUGGGGUGCUCCACCUGCAGAGCCCUCUGUUUGCGAGCCCACUCAGUCACUGCACAGGUGCUUAGCCGAGAGGCGGCACAGUCGGGGUUGGCACCUGCACCCAUACCAGCCCUGCCUCCUGUUCGCUGUGUGGCCUGAGUGGCUGGACCUCACUGUAUCUCCUGGUGGGAUUGCUCAGAGGUCUCAGCAAGGCUUGGUGUGGUUAGGAUGAGUUAUUAGAGCAGUGCUGAGCUGUGGCAAGCACCCGACAUCAGCCACUGCUGUGAUAUACUGAGCACCUCCUCUAGAGAGAAUAAAGGACUGACAAAGCU
Homo sapiens (human) is the source of this 2233-nucleotide long non-coding RNA. RefSeq annotates it as DBH antisense RNA 1. The record is from RefSeq and is marked validated. The transcript is spliced from 2 exons. The annotation marks the transcript as partial. Lineage: Eukaryota; Metazoa; Chordata; Mammalia; Primates; Hominidae.